Molecule: ribosomal RNA, 642 nt
Filed under: uncultivated soil bacterium clone S109
Lineage: Bacteria
Description: bacterial SSU rRNA
Rfam family: Bacterial small subunit ribosomal RNA
Source: RNAcentral
UCGAGCGGGCGUAGCAAUACGUCAGCGGCAGACGGGUGAGUAACGCGUGGGAACGUACCUUUUGGUUCGGAACAACACAGGGAAACUUGUGCUAAUACCGGAUAAGCCCUUACGGGGAAAGAUUUAUCGCCGAAAGAUCGGCCCGCGUCUGAUUAGCUAGUUGGUGAGGUAACGGCUCACCAAGGCGACGAUCAGUAGCUGGUCUGAGAGGAUGAUCAGCCACAUUGGGACUGAGACACGGCCUAAACUCCUACGGGAGGCAGCAGUGGGGAAUAUUGGACAAUGGGCGAAAGCCUGAUCCAGCCAUGCCGCGUGAGUGAUGAAGGCCCUAGGGUUGUAAAGCUCUUUUGUGCGGGAAGAUAAUGACGGUACCGCAAGAAUAAGCCCCGGCUAACUUCGUGCCAGCAGCCGCGGUAAUACGAAGGGGGCUAGCGUUGCUCGGAAUCACUGGGCGUAAAGGGUGCGUAGGCGGGUCUUUAAGUCAGGGGUGAAAUCCUGGAGCUCAACUCCAGAACUGCCUUUGAUACUGAAGAUCUUGAGUUCGGGAGAGGUGAGUGGAACUGCGAGUGUAGAGGUGAAAUUCGUAGAUAUUCGCAAGACACCAGUGGCGAAGCGCCUCACUGGCCCGAUACUGACACUGAG